AGAGUUUGAUCCUGGCUCAGGAUUAACGCUGGCGGCGUGCAUGAAACAUGCAAGUCGAGCGCGGGAUGGAGGCUUCGGUCUCCAUCUCUAGCGGCGAACGGGUGAGUAACACGUGAGCAACCUACCUUUGAGUCCGGAAUAGCCCUGGGAAACCAGGAUUAAUGCCGGAUGUGGUCACGACGAGACAUCUCGACGUGAGU
RNAcentral lists this ribosomal RNA (200 nucleotides) under uncultured bacterium. RNAcentral's name for it is "partial 16S ribosomal RNA". It matches the Rfam family "Bacterial small subunit ribosomal RNA", at positions 8 to 203 of the family's 1533-position model. The record is from RNAcentral.